RNAcentral lists this ribosomal RNA (839 nucleotides) under Bacillus inaquosorum. RNAcentral's name for it is "bacterial SSU rRNA". It matches the Rfam family "Bacterial small subunit ribosomal RNA", at positions 381 to 1212 of the family's 1533-position model. Lineage: Bacteria; Bacillati; Bacillota; Bacilli; Caryophanales; Bacillaceae. The record is from RNAcentral.
GUCUGACGGAGCACGCCGCGUGAGUGAUGAAGGUUUUCGGAUCGUAAAGCUCUGUUGUUAGGGAAGAACAAGUACCGUUCGAAUAGGGCGGUACCUUGACGGUACCUAACCAGAAAGCCACGGCUAACUACGUGCCAGCAGCCGCGGUAAUACGUAGGUGGCAAGCGUUGUCCGGAAUUAUUGGGCGUAAAGGGCUCGCAGGCGGUUUCUUAAGUCUGAUGUGAAAGCCCCCGGCUCAACCGGGGAGGGUCAUUGGAAACUGGGGAACUUGAGUGCAGAAGAGGAGAGUGGAAUUCCACGUGUAGCGGUGAAAUGCGUAGAGAUGUGGAGGAACACCAGUGGCGAAGGCGACUCUCUGGUCUGUAACUGACGCUGAGGAGCGAAAGCGUGGGGAGCGAACAGGAUUAGAUACCCUGGUAGUCCACGCCGUAAACGAUGAGUGCUAAGUGUUAGGGGGUUUCCGCCCCUUAGUGCUGCAGCUAACGCAUUAAGCACUCCGCCUGGGGAGUACGGUCGCAAGACUGAAACUCAAAGGAAUUGACGGGGGCCCGCACAAGCGGUGGAGCAUGUGGUUUAAUUCGAAGCAACGCGAAGAACCUUACCAGGUCUUGACAUCCUCUGACAAUCCUAGAGAUAGGACGUCCCCUUCGGGGGCAGAGUGACAGGUGGUGCAUGGUUGUCGUCAGCUCGUGUCGUGAGAUGUUGGGUUAAGUCCCGCAACGAGCGCAACCCUUGAUCUUAGUUGCCAGCAUUCAGUUGGGCACUCUAAGGUGACUGCCGGUGACAAACCGGAGGAAGGUGGGGAUGACGUCAAAUCAUCAUGCCCCUUUAUGACCUGG